Molecule: long non-coding RNA, 1281 nt
Filed under: Homo sapiens (human)
Lineage: Eukaryota; Metazoa; Chordata; Mammalia; Primates; Hominidae
Description: HSALNT0090620
Source: RNAcentral
GGCAGUGAUUAUGCUGAGCCUACAGAAAGCAAAUGUAAAGGACUUGGAAUUCAGAGGCUCUUAUUUAUCAUUCAAAAAGUGGUGCAGAUCAAAUACAAGAGUCAUGCAAAUCUUGCAACAAUCAGAAAAUACAAGGACUCGAUAGAAGUGUAAGUAUUUCCAUUGCAAGAGUCUGAACUUGGAAAAGGUCACACAUGUUGGACUUACAACCUAUAGAAAUGUAAGAAAAGAAAAUUGUGUGUGUUUGAAUGAUGCUUUAUAUUUUUUAAUUUUUAAUUGUAGUAAAAUAUACUUAACAUCAAUUUACUAUCUUACCAAUUUUUUUAUUUUAUUUUUAUUUUUUUGAGACAGGGUCUUGCUCUGUCACCCAGGCUGGAGUGCAGUAGCAAGAUAAUGGCUCACUGUGGCCUUGACCUCCUGGUCAAGUGGCCUUCCCACCCCAGCCUCCUGAGUGACUAAGAAUACAAGCAUGUGCCACUUUGGUCAGCUAAUGGUUUCUAGUUUUUGCUAAGACAGGGUCUCACUAUGUUGCCCAGAUUGGUCUCAAAGCCUGAGCCAUUCUUGUACCUUGAGUCACAUAUAAAAAUGUAGAAAAAAAUAGAAAAAAGUUACUGAAAUUUCUAACUACAAAAAAAAAGAAUAUAUUUAGCCCGAAUAUCAAUGAACUCCAAAAACAGGAAAAAGGGGCCACUAUGUUAGAACUAGUUAUUUUUAACCCUGUUCACAUCUGAAAAUUUAACAAAUAAAUGUGUGUUUGUGUAUGUGUGUGUGUGUGCAUGAGCAUGUGUGUAUCUUCCUGUGCUACCAUUUAAAAUUAAACUAAUCAUCACUCUGGACAGAAAAAAAAAUAAAACUAUCUAUGAUCCAGCAAUUUCACUAUUGGGUAUACACUCAAAGGAUAUAAAAUCAAUAUGUCAAAGAUAUAUCUGCACUCCUAUGAUUAUCAUAGCACAAUUCACGAUAGCCAAGUUAUGAAAUCAACCCAAAUGCUCACAAACAGAUAAAUGGAUAAAAAAAAUGUAGUAUGGAAAUUCUGUCACUGACAACAACAUGUGUGAACCUGGAAUAUAUUAAGUGAAAUAAGCCAGACACAGGAAGACAAAUAUCCCUGGAUCUCACAUAUAUUCAAUCUAAAAAGUGAAACUUGUGGAAGGAGAGAGUAGAAUGGAGCUUACCAGGGGCUCAAGGGAGUUGCUGGGGGUAUCAGGGUGACAUUGGACAAAGGGUAAAAAAAAUUCAGUUAAGAAGAAUAAGCUUAAGAGAUCUAUUCUACAUAUGGUG